GAUGAACGCUGGCGGCGUGCCUAAUACAUGCAAGUCGAGCGAACAGACGAGGAGCUUGCUCCUUUGACGUUAGCGGCGGACGGGUGAGUAACACGUGGAUAACCUACCUAUAAGACUGGGAUAACUUCGGGAAACCGGCGCUAAUACCGGAUAAUAUAUUGAACCGCAUGGUUCAAUAGUGAAAGACGGUUUUGCUGUCACUUAUAGAUGGAUCCGCGCCGCAUUAGCUAGUUGGUAAGGUAACGGCUUACCAAGGCGACGAUGCGUAGCCGACCUGAGAGGGUGAUCGGCCACACUGAAACUGAGACACGGUCCAGACUCCGACGGGAGGCAGCAGUAGGUAAUCUUCCGCGAUGGGCGAAAGCCUGACGGAGCAACGCCGCGUGAGUGAUGAAGGUCUUCGGAUCGUAAAACGCUGUUAUUAGGGAAGAACAAAUGUGUAAGUAACGAUGCACGUCUUGACGGUACCUAAUCAGAAAGCCACGGCUAACUACGU
RNAcentral lists this ribosomal RNA (496 nucleotides) under uncultured bacterium. RNAcentral describes it as "partial 16S ribosomal RNA". It matches the Rfam family "Bacterial small subunit ribosomal RNA", at positions 28 to 506 of the family's 1533-position model. The record is from RNAcentral.